AGAUGACGUUGAAGGGAAUGCGCCACAUCUUACAACCACUGCAAACAAGAGCACGCAAUGAAUCAAACUCAGAAGCCCAGGCCGGGAUCAAACGGUAAGAUCUCACAGCUUCUGCCUGCGACUGCGAAGUGCCUACAUCACAGACGAAGGUGACCACAGAGUCAAAGUCAGAAUGUUGAAAACCAUCGUGGGAUUCCGAACUCCAAAGCAUACAGAGGCAGUCUAGCGUGUGAAAAAGAUGCAGCGUUUCUUAGAGGCUACGUUCCCGAAUGGAUGAAGAUUACUCGGGGUUCACAAAACUGCGCCCACUGACUUUUAAAUAAAUCAUAAACACUUUUGCGCUCUUAGAAAAAGA
This is a long non-coding RNA of Aplysia californica (California sea hare), 355 nucleotides long. RefSeq lists it as uncharacterized. Lineage: Eukaryota; Metazoa; Mollusca; Gastropoda; Aplysiida; Aplysiidae. The record is from RefSeq and is a predicted model, not a curated record. The transcript has 3 exons.